CUGAUCACACUCUCUCUCCUCUACCCAAGACUGCCGACCAGCUCUCCCUCCCUCUCUAACUCCAUUGUUCCAAAAAUUUCUUACUCAAACCACCACCAAAACAUCUCCAAAUUCAACCAAACUUGCACCACACUUAGAUUAACACUUGAGGAGUAUUUUGAGCUGCAAAAGGGAGCUGAAAAGCCACGGUUUUUUGGAGCAAAGAGUGACCAAAAAUUUCUGAUCUAGUCAUCCAAGAAGGCGCUCAAGGGGACCUUCAAGAAGAACUCGAAGUGGACGCCUAGACACUUGUUUGAGUAUUUACUCUCUUGUUGCAAUAGGACUGGGCUCGGUCGGGUAGGUUGG
Coffea arabica (coffee) is the source of this 345-nucleotide non-coding RNA. Lineage: Eukaryota; Viridiplantae; Streptophyta; Magnoliopsida; Gentianales; Rubiaceae. The record is from RefSeq and is a predicted model, not a curated record.